This is a long non-coding RNA of Rhincodon typus (whale shark), 276 nucleotides long. RefSeq lists it as uncharacterized. The transcript has 2 exons. The record is from RefSeq and is a predicted model, not a curated record. Lineage: Eukaryota; Metazoa; Chordata; Chondrichthyes; Orectolobiformes; Rhincodontidae.
GGCUUGCCAGAAGUGGCAAAUCAGAGGCUGGAGCUUCUGGGUCCUAAAGACCACUGAUCGAGGCCUAUUCUUUAAGGCAUUAGAUGGUGACAAGAUCGGCAGCUAUGACACAAACUCUCACAACUUGGAAACUUCACGAACUAAAUCCUUUCUGCUGUAUGGAAACUAUUCUCCUAAACAGAAAACGUGAUUCAUCUGCUGGGAAGAAACUGUUGCCUUGGAUGCGAUGGCUCAUUCUUCUGAACUGAAAUCAAAUUAAACUCAUGUGGCCCCGAA